CUGGAGACAGGUGCUGCAUGGCUGUCGUCAGCUCGUGUCGUGAGAUGUUGGGUUAAGUCCCGCAACGAGCGCAACCCUUGCCUUUAGUUGCCAGCAGUUCGGCUGGGCGACUCUAAAGGGAACUGCCGGUGUUAAACCGGAGGAAGGUGGGGAUGACGUCAAGUCCUCAUGGCCUUUAUGACCAGGGCUACACACGUACUACAAUGGCCGAUACAAAGGGCAGCGACACUGCGAGGUGAAGCCAAUCCCGUAAAAUCGGUCUCAGUCCGGAUUGGAGUCUGCAACUCGACUCCAUGAAGUUGGAAUCGCUAGUAAUCGUGGAUCAGCAUGCCACGGUGAAUACGUUCCCGGGCCUU
Molecule: ribosomal RNA, 356 nt
Filed under: uncultured Desulfobulbus sp.
Lineage: Bacteria; Pseudomonadati; Thermodesulfobacteriota; Desulfobulbia; Desulfobulbales; Desulfobulbaceae
Description: bacterial SSU rRNA
Rfam family: Bacterial small subunit ribosomal RNA
Source: RNAcentral